This 98-nucleotide small nucleolar RNA is filed under the name Chlorocebus sabaeus (green monkey). Its description in RNAcentral is "Small nucleolar RNA U13". It matches the Rfam family "Small nucleolar RNA U13". Lineage: Eukaryota; Metazoa; Chordata; Mammalia; Primates; Cercopithecidae. The record is from Rfam by way of RNAcentral.
AUCCUUUUGUAGUUGGUAAGUGUGAUGAUUGGGUUUGAGAUAGAUGUGCCUUCCUUAAACCUUGUUACAAACCUUGUUAGCACAUUACCUGUCUAAUG